This 486-nucleotide ribosomal RNA is filed under the name uncultured Glomus. RNAcentral's name for it is "SSU rRNA". It matches the Rfam family "Eukaryotic small subunit ribosomal RNA", at positions 569 to 1060 of the family's 1831-position model. The record is from RNAcentral. Lineage: Eukaryota; Fungi; Glomeromycota; Glomeromycetes; Glomerales; Glomeraceae.
AGCAGCCGCGGUAAUUCCAGCUCCAAUAGCGUAUAUUAAAGUUGUUGCAGUUAAAAAGCUCGUAGUUGAAUUUCGGGGUUAGCAGGUCGGUCGUGCCAUCGGUAUGAACUGGUCUCGCUGAUCCCUCCCUCUUGACGAACUGUGAUGCCAUUAAUUUGGUGUCGCAGGGAAUCAGGACUGUUACUUUGAAAAAUUAGAGUGUUUAAAGCAGGCUCACGCUUGAAUACAUUAGCAUGGAAUAAUGAAAUAGGACGUUUGAUCCUAUUUUGUUGGUUUCUAGGAUUGACGUAAUGAUUAAUAGGGAUAGUUGGGGGCAUUAGUAUUCAAUUGUCAGAGGUGAAAUUCUUGGAUUUAUUGAAGACUAACUACUGCGAAAGCAUUUGCCAAGGAUGUUUUCAUUAAUCAAGAACGAAAGUUAGGGGAUCGAAGACGAUCAGAUACCGUCGUAGUCUUAACCAUAAACUAUGCCGACUAGGGAUCGGAUGA